AUUAGUAAUAGUUAAGUUCUUGAAAUUUAAAAGAUUUGGCGGUAUUUUAGACUUUUCAGAGGAACUUGUCCUAUAAUUGAUAAUCCACGAUUAAAAUUACUUUUUUUAUUAGUUUGUAUAUCGUCGUUAUUGAAAAUUUUUUAAAAAUUAUUAAUUUUCAAAGUUUUUAAUUUAAAAAUAAAUCAGAUCAAGAUGUAGUUUAUAAAAAAGUAGAGAUGAGUUACAUUUAAUUAUUUUAUAAAGAUAUUUAUUUUUAAAGUAAAUUGAAUUUGGAUUUGAAAGUAAUUUGAAUAAAUUAAUUUAAAUGAUUUAGCUCUAAAAUAUGUACACAUCGCCCG
This 338-nucleotide ribosomal RNA is filed under the name Lema saigonensis. Its description in RNAcentral is "partial 12S rRNA". Lineage: Eukaryota; Metazoa; Arthropoda; Insecta; Coleoptera; Chrysomelidae. The record is from RNAcentral.